Non-coding RNA from Pocillopora verrucosa, 513 nucleotides. The record is from RefSeq and is a predicted model, not a curated record. NCBI's taxonomy places the organism in Eukaryota, Metazoa, Cnidaria, Anthozoa, Scleractinia, Pocilloporidae.
UAAGAAGCAACUAUUAUUUUUAUACUUGCAACUUGAUUUAACAUCAUGUAGUCAAGAUCAUUGGUAAUGUGUAUUCAUUGAGUUCAUACAGCGUCCAGACGAUCCGUCGGAGUGCGCUUUAGGAAUCAAAUACCUCUUACUUUUCAGGAGCUUUAAGCAAGGGCACUUUUGUAAGAGAUUUUGGUACACAUACUGAGAUAAUUGAUUUGGAAGGCUCAGAUAUUAAAGCUGACAUGGAGCCUCGCCUUGUUCAGUGGCAAGGCAAGUUGGAUGAGCUACAUGUCUUUUUCAAGAAGUUGUGCAAGUCACGCAUAAAGUCACUAUUCACUAUUCACUAUUGUUUUUCUUGCGUUAGAUCUGCUUUUUUCGAUUCGAUUGCACCUUGACUAUUUUUGUACCGCUACUCCUCUUGCGUUAUAUUUAUUUAAAUGAGCAAUUUUUAAAAGACAGAAAAUGUCCUUCUUUCAAUAACGUGGCGGAAUAAAACAAUUACACAAAGAUGUUACUAUGAUA